Long non-coding RNA from Hibiscus syriacus, 1695 nucleotides. RefSeq lists it as uncharacterized. The record is from RefSeq and is a predicted model, not a curated record. The transcript is spliced from 8 exons. NCBI's taxonomy places the organism in Eukaryota, Viridiplantae, Streptophyta, Magnoliopsida, Malvales, Malvaceae.
CGGAUAACAAAAGAACAUAUGAAUCUGGAAAGCUCAGUGCCCUAACUGAAUCUUUCGGCAAAUCCAAACCUCGAUUAAAGAAAAUGAAGGUUUAAACUUAAUCUCAAACAUAAGGCUGACAAUGGUGAGAAGCAAUGACAUCGUGUUACGGACCGUUGAUCGAUCUCGCAGAAGCUUCUCAUCAUACGGAUCACUUCGUCCAGCUUCUGGUUUUCGUUCACCGUUCCACUCCUGUUCAGGUUUCUCUAAUCUCUCCCUCUGUUCAAAUGCGUGGGUCUUUGUUUUGUCUUUUUUUCUUCAAUAAUUGUGAUUUCUAACAACUCCGUGUGGGUGAAACGAAAGUAUAAAUUAUCUAAAGGAGGAGAAAUAACCAGGACGGACAUUCAGGUGGGCGAUGACACUCAACCCUUUUUCUCCGUCUCCUUGUUGAAAAAAUAACUGCGAUCAAUCGCUGCUGCUGGCGACAUCGUCUUAUUGCAAAAUGUCAAGAUUACAAAAUUCCGAGAUGUUUUCGAGGCCAUAAGUGAUGACUGGUCAUCUGGACUCUGUCAAGUCCACCCUUACCAGUCCCUUGUUUCAAAGAGUGCAAUUGAAUUAGUAGCAGAGUGUAAAAUGGGAAUAGUGGUCAAAGAAAAGCUUUCCAAGGUUAUGGAAUGGGUGCAGAGGACCGGAUAUUAUGCUAUUGAGAAUGUUGACCCGUAUGAUCAUCAAAAGAGGCGACUAUCCAGAAACUGUAAAGUGCCAGAACCGAAUAAAUUGAGAGAAUGUCCCUCACUUUCAGAGGUUUUGUGCCUGAACAGUCACUCAGGAAGUUUAGCUGAAGAUCUUAUAUGCACUGGUUGCCGGCUAUGUGGUUCCCCUUUGCAUCAAGAGCACGGGUGUGGUCUAUAGUUGAUAGAGUUCCACUCUAUUGUGAGAAAAGCUUGGAUCGCCUUCAUACAGUCAGCUUGAUUUACAGGCCUUUUAUGCUAUUGAUGUCUUCUUGAGCUUAUUUGGCUGAUCAUCUUAUAUCACUCAAAGAGUGGAAAUAUCUCAUGUUUUCUGCUGAAAUGGCCAAGGAUAGUUUCUAUUGAAUGAAGAUUUAUAUUAUUGAAUGCAUAUUAUUUGGGAAUAUAUCUUCAUCUGCACAUUAAAAGAGGUCCAUUAUGGUGGUGACCCGUCCAACUCAAUCUCUAAACCCUAUGUUGCAUGGGGACGGUAGAGGAAGGGCGUUUCAAGUACCCGAAACGUCCCUGGCACGGGGACGGCCGGGGUACGCACCGGAGACAUGCCACAGUGACAGCCUGACAGGGUACGGCUGAACGAUACGGGAGACGUUUCGGUGCUCGCUGGGGACGUUUCGGGGACGUCAUUUGCAGCUUUGUUCGAAAUUUCCAAAUCCCCUUUCCAGUACUCAGAUGCAGAAUUGGACGAGUCUAUAUUUGUUUUGUCUAAGAGCUCUAAUGAUAAAGUGAAGGAAAAGGUGGAGAAAGAAGAGUGGAGGCCCCCUGAGUCAAAACUCGAGCUCACUGACUGGGAUUAAGAUUCAGUAAUCGAAGAUGAACCAAGAGAAUUUUGACUGUUAUUUUCCCCCCGUUUCCCAUUUGGGUUAUUAGCGAACCAAAUACUAUGGUUAACCGGCAAAAUGUAAAAUGAAAAAAUAUUUUUGGGUGCCCAAUCACACCCUAAUCAAAGAUUUAGAGAGCGGGUUAAUCU